GUGGGUAGCCACCCAUGCACGUUGACACAGCCAGAAGCGAGUACCCAGGGCGAUGGACCCAGAAGUGGAGGAUGAUCCAAUAGGUGUGAGGAAAAGACGCAUACUAGAGGGAGUCGAGGACUUGGCUGGCCUACAAAAUGUCACUAAGGGAUGCAACUGACAGCUGAAGUAGGAUCUUUUUUGUUUUUUGGCCAUGACAAUGCUUUGACAGUUGAUAAUAAACUGAUAAUUACGAUA
Molecule: long non-coding RNA, 237 nt
Organism: Engraulis encrasicolus (European anchovy)
Lineage: Eukaryota; Metazoa; Chordata; Actinopteri; Clupeiformes; Engraulidae
Exons: 2
Source: RefSeq, a predicted model, not a curated record